Molecule: ribosomal RNA, 511 nt
Filed under: uncultured Planctomycetota bacterium
Lineage: Bacteria; Pseudomonadati; Planctomycetota
Description: bacterial SSU rRNA
Rfam family: Bacterial small subunit ribosomal RNA
Source: RNAcentral
CGGAGCGACGCGCGUGCGGGAUGAAGGCCUUCGGGUUGUAAACCGCUGUCAGUGGGGAGCAAAUGCAUCGGGGUUCUCCCGGUGUUGAGCGAUCCGCAGAGGAAGCACAGGCUAAUUCCGUGCCAGCAGCCGCGGUAAUACGGAAUGUGCAAACGUUAUUCGGAAUCACUGGGCUUAAAGAGUCCGUAGGCGGCUUGUUAGGUGAGGUGUGAAAUCCCCCGGCUCAACCGAGGAAUUGCGCUUCAAACCGGCGAGCUUGAGGAAGAUAGAGGUGGGCGGAACUGAUGGUGGAGCGGUGAAAUGCGUUGAUAUCAUCAGGAACACCGGAGGCGAAAGCGGCCCACUGGGUCUUAUCUGACGCUGAGGGACGAAAGCUAGGGGAGCGAACGGGAUUAGAUACCCCGGUAGUCCUAGCCUUAAACGAUGAGCACUAGACCGAAGGAUUUCCACAAUUUUUUGGUCGUAGCGAAAGUGUUAAGUGCUCCGCCUGGGGAGUAUGGUCGCAAGGCUG